Molecule: long non-coding RNA, 423 nt
Filed under: Fukomys damarensis (Damara mole-rat)
Lineage: Eukaryota; Metazoa; Chordata; Mammalia; Rodentia; Bathyergidae
Description: lncRNA (ENSFDAG00000022602.1)
Source: RNAcentral
CGGCUGUUUCUGGGAGAACUGCCCUCCUCCUCCCCCAACUAUUUUUUUCUUUCCAUUUUCUUUUUCUGCUGGGGAGAAGGGUUUCAUGACUGUGUGUAGCCAAUUAGAUUUGAAAGCUGAGAGCUCUGUUGCACUAUGCCAGGAACUGCUGGAGUGAGCAAGAGAGCCCAUGGGCUUGGAAUGCCUGGCACGGAAGCGAAUCUCCCGACGUGGCCGCUCCCAGGAUGGGGGGAAGGAAAGUGCACAGCUAAAUGAAUGAAAAGAUAUUAAGUAGUGGUAGGUACAGUGAUGGAAAAAGCCAGCCUGAGUGAUGUGAAAGAAAUUGGAGGGCUUCUCUGAGGAGGUGACCUUCGAGCUGAGCCCGGGUAAGAAGGAACUGCCUGUGCAGAGAUUUUUGGGAAGAGCACCCCGGGUAGAGAGAAC